RNAcentral lists this long non-coding RNA (957 nucleotides) under Trifolium pratense (red clover). RNAcentral's name for it is "long non-coding RNA (TPRA_LNC007288)". The record is from RNAcentral. Lineage: Eukaryota; Viridiplantae; Streptophyta; Magnoliopsida; Fabales; Fabaceae.
GGUUAUUGGUAAAACAUUGGUCCUUGAUGAGAUAAUCAAUUAUACUCAAUCAUAUCACCACCAAGUAGAGCUGUGAAUUCUUUAUCUAAUGUUGUAAUUCUUUGUGAAAAUAUGAAUGUUUGAUAAACUAUCUGAUAUGUUUGAUUCACAAUAAUUUAUAGCAGCAAAGCUUUUGAUAAAUGGUUGCAUAAAAGGGUUGAAAGUGAUAUAAUGCUUCCAAAAAGGUUGUUGGAGAGUCUUUCACAUGGUAAGCAAAUAGACAUGUGUAGGGGUUGAAAGUUUUUUUGUGAUUGGACAUGUAAAUUGGUUUCAUUUAUGCUUUUGUUUUUUGGUACAUCAUUUAUGCAUAUGUUUUACUUCACACUUUUAUUGGAAAGAACAAUAAGCUAGAAAGAAACUAUUGAUUUCAGUGUUUGGUGUAUGAUGAUAAAGGUCAAGUGAUGAUUAUUGAUUUAUGAAGUUGAGAUAUUUGUUCAUAAACUUUGGCACUUUGUAAGAUCCAUCAUAUUUUUUAGUUUACUUUAUUUCGAAAUAUCUUAUUUGAAUUGAGGGAAUGAAGACUAUCAAAUUGAGGGGUCAAGGGUGUUGUCGUUUUCACGCUGCAACCUAAAACAACUUUAGCAGGAAACAACUUUCACGCUGCUGCAAACUCCUCUGUACUCAAUUCAAAUUUCAAAUUCAAAUCACUUUCUCUCUCUCUCGCCCUCUUACUUUAUUUCAUGAGUUUUGAUUAUUUAUUUUUUUCUUUGAAUUUCUGUUGAAAAUACAGUUGGUUAGUUUCUAUCUUUUAGUUAAUAAUCCCUACUUUUUAGGAGAUCAAAACAACUAUCCCGAUUCCGGUUCCUUCCUAAUGUGAUGAGAAUUUGCUUCAUCUUUUCUCAACGUUUUUUUAAUUUUUGGUGUAUCUUAAUUGCCAUACAAACAAGCAAAUGUUUAUAAUCUGCUUUGUAGUUUGUA